This is a long non-coding RNA of Vigna radiata var. radiata (mung bean), 1012 nucleotides long. RefSeq lists it as uncharacterized. NCBI's taxonomy places the organism in Eukaryota, Viridiplantae, Streptophyta, Magnoliopsida, Fabales, Fabaceae. The transcript is spliced from 3 exons. The record is from RefSeq and is a predicted model, not a curated record.
UCGGUGAAGGUUAGAGAUCUGGCGGUGCAGGUGGUUUAAUCGGUGAAAUAGUCCGAUUAAUCGGUGGAAUGAGUGGUUGAUCGGUGGAAAGGUUUCGAAUAUGUGCAGAGGAAGUUCUAAACGGGAGAAUGAAAGAUAUGGUUCGUUGAGGAUGCGAGAGAAUAACAAUUCAUUCAAAUUUUCUCGUUAUAAGCCAGUAAUUCUUUGGCUUCUGAAGGAACCUGCCGCGAAGACUACCUUAGGUUAAACAAGGCUGCGUUCGUCAAAGAAUUGAUGGCUGCACAUGAUAUCCUGCUUGAUGACCUAUUAAGAAUAAGCAGAGGAAUUAAACAAACUAUUGUUUUGGCGGGAAUUAAUUUUGAGCCAGAUGUUACUAAGUCAUUAAAUUCUCCNUCUCUUGCUCAUGAGAAAAAUGNUGAUGAUGGGAAAUCACUUCUAUUGUCUGAUGGGACAAAAUCCAAUGUUGAGUUUUGGGAUGAUAUGCUAAACUUGUUCUAGUCUAUUGGGAAUCAACUCUUAUUUAUCUGGAAUACAUUUAUGAAAUUUUACAGGUAUACUCAAAUUUAUUUAUUUAGUAAUUUAACAAUAGAAUUAAGGUUGUUACGUAUUUUCNGAGAAAAGAUGCAUUCAUAUAAGUAUCUUCGAGCAUAACUUUAAGCUGUCAAUGACAUCAACUUUUGUCUUCGCUUUUAUUCUCAUUCCUUCAUCAGGGAAAAUAAAACAAAGAUACUGGAAUUUCUGCGUAACUCAUGGGCUAACGAUCGAAAAACUGAGUGGUCAAUAUGGAUGAUGUACUCCAAGGUUGAUAUGCCUNACUAGUACAUGAGUAAUGGAGUUGAAGAGGCUUGUUAAUGUUUUAUUUUGUUAUUCCGUUAAAGUAUAUCUUAUUCUCUGCUUUUUAUUUUAUGUUUAUGCUACCUUUAACCUUUAAAAGGAAUUUUUCUUUUUCACAUGUUAUUGGUUUUGACUGAUUCAUGUGGCUGACCCUCCUAGUCUGAUUGUUAUUGUGCUU